UACGGAGGGGGCUAGCGUUGUUCGGAAUUACUGGGCGUAAAGCGUACGUAGGCGGCUUCGCAAGUCAGAGGUGAAAGCCUGGAGCUCAACUCCAGAAUUGCCUUUGAGACUGCGUCGCUUGAUCACGGGAGAGGUGAGUGGAAUUCCGAGUGUAGAGGUGAAAUUCGUAGAUAUUCGGAAGAACACCAGUGGCGAAGGCGGCUCACUGGACCGUAGAUGACGCUGAGGUACGAAAGCGUGGGGAGCAAACAGG
This 253-nucleotide ribosomal RNA is filed under the name uncultured bacterium. RNAcentral's name for it is "partial 16S ribosomal RNA". It matches the Rfam family "Bacterial small subunit ribosomal RNA", at positions 524 to 776 of the family's 1533-position model. The record is from RNAcentral.